UAAUUAAAUGGCUGCGGUAUUUUGACCGUGCAAAGGUAGCAUAAUAAUUAGUUUUUUAAUUGGGAACUGGUAUGAAAGGUCGAACGAAAAAAAAACUGUCUCAAUUUAAUUUAAAUUAGAAUUUUAUCUUUAAGUAAAAAAGCUUAAAUAAUUUUAAAAGACGAGAAGACCCUAUAGAGUUUUAUAUUUAAAUAUUUAUAUGAAAAAUUAAAGAAUUGUUUUUUUUUUGUAAUUAUUUAAUUAUUUAGUUGGGGCGAUUAAAAAAUUUAAAUAACUUUUUUUAAAUAAUAACAUUGAUUUAUGAAUAAGUGAUCCAUAUUUAAUGAUUAUAAGAUUAAAUUACCUUAGGGAUAACAGCGUAA
RNAcentral lists this ribosomal RNA (362 nucleotides) under Nanos sp. 1 MTM-2009. Its description in RNAcentral is "partial 16S ribosomal RNA". The record is from RNAcentral. Lineage: Eukaryota; Metazoa; Arthropoda; Insecta; Coleoptera; Scarabaeidae.